GUGAAUCAUCGAGUCUUUGAACGCAUAUUGCGCUCUUUGGUAUUCCGAAGAGCAUGCUUGUUUGAGUAUCAUUAAAUUAUCAACCUUGCUUGCUUUUACUAGCUCGCUCGGCUUGGAUGUGAGGGCUUUGCUGGCUUCCUUCAGUGGAUGGUCUGCUCCCUUUAAAUGCAUUAGUGGGAUCUCUUGUGGACCGUCACUUGGUCGUGAUAAUUAUCUAUGCCAGUUCGACUUUGAAGCAAAAUUAUGGGAACCCGCUUAUAACCGUCCGCAAGGACAACUCUUGACAUUUUGACCUCAAUCAGGUAGGACUACCCGCUGAACUUAAGCAUAUCAAUAAGGCGAGG
This 344-nucleotide ribosomal RNA is filed under the name uncultured fungus. Its description in RNAcentral is "eukaryotic LSU rRNA". The stretch from base 1 to 71 matches the Rfam family "5.8S ribosomal RNA", at positions 84 to 154 of the family's 154-position model. The record is from RNAcentral. Lineage: Eukaryota; Fungi.